Molecule: long non-coding RNA, 382 nt
Organism: Wasmannia auropunctata (little fire ant)
Lineage: Eukaryota; Metazoa; Arthropoda; Insecta; Hymenoptera; Formicidae
Exons: 3
Source: RefSeq, a predicted model, not a curated record
AAUCCUGAGAGGAGGAGGAGGCCUGGGAGAGGCAUCGGGCAUCGGCGUCAAAAACCUUGGGUAUCGCCUACCCAAUCCUGAGAGGAGGAGGUCUGGGAGAGGCAUCGGGCAUCGGCGGAGCAACCUUGGGUAUCGUCGUAGCUACGUGGCAGAAUAACUCCGCCCGUUGCGCGUCGGACCGGUGAGUCAGAAAAUUUUGUUAUUUUUUAUGAGGUAACGAAUCUACGAUUAAUUAUGUUGAAUGUAGAGAAAAUGUCUCAGUACAUGUCGAAUAACGACAAUUAAAUCAUUUUACAAAUUACUAAUUAAAUAUCGUAGAUCUGUUGCCUUAAAAUGGAUUGACUAAAUUUGAUUAGGGCAAAUAUUUAAUCUUGGUAUUGCU